AUUGAACGCUGGCGGCAUGCCUUACACAUGCAAGUCGAACGGCAGCACGGGAGCAAUCCUGGUGGCGAGUGGCGAACGGGUGAGUAAAGUAUCGGAACGUGCCCAGUCGUGGGGGAUAACGUAGCGAAAGUUACGCUAAUACCGCAUACGAUCUAUGGAUGAAAGCGGGGGAUCGCAAGACCUCGCGCGAUUGGAGCGGCCGAUAUCAGAUUAGGUAGUUGGUGGGGUAAAGGCUCACCAAGCCGACGAUCUGUAGCUGGUCUGAGAGGACGACCAGCCAAACUGGGACUGAGACACGGCCCAGACUCCUACGGGAGGCAGCAGUGGGGAGUGUUGGACAAUGGGCGAAAGCCUGAUCCAGCCAUGCCGCGUGCAGGAUGAAGGCCUUCGGGUUGUAAACUGCUUUUGUACGGAACGAAAAGGUUUGGGCUAAUAAGCUGAGCUCAUGACGGUACCGUAAGAAUAAGCACCGGCUAACUACGUGCCAGCCGCCGCGGUAA
This 500-nucleotide ribosomal RNA is filed under the name uncultured bacterium. RNAcentral's name for it is "partial 16S ribosomal RNA". It matches the Rfam family "Bacterial small subunit ribosomal RNA", at positions 29 to 523 of the family's 1533-position model. The record is from RNAcentral.